RNAcentral lists this ribosomal RNA (456 nucleotides) under uncultured Anaerolineaceae bacterium. RNAcentral's name for it is "bacterial SSU rRNA". It matches the Rfam family "Bacterial small subunit ribosomal RNA", at positions 910 to 1382 of the family's 1533-position model. The record is from RNAcentral. Lineage: Bacteria; Bacillati; Chloroflexota; Anaerolineae; Anaerolineales; Anaerolineaceae.
UUGACGGGGACCCGCACAAGCAGCGGAGCGUGUGGUUUAAUUCGUUGCUACACGAAGAACCUUACCUGGGUUUGACAUAUAAGUUGUAGGGAACUGAAAGGGACCGACCUUCGGGGAGCUUAUACAGGUGUUGCAUGGCUGUCGUCAGCUCGUGUCGUGAGAUGUUCGGUUAAGUCCGCUAACGAGCGCAACCCUCGCCGUAUGUUACAAGUGUCAUACGGGACUGCCGGUAAAAGCCGGAGGAAGGUGAGGAUGAUGUCAAGUCAGCAUGACCUUUAUAUCCAGGGCUACACACACGCUACAAUGGUCUGUACAAUUGGUUGCCAAGCCGCGAGGCGGAGCCAAUCCGUAAAGCAGGCCUCAGUUCAGAUUGCAGUCUGCAACUCGACUGCAUGAAGCCGGAGUUGCUAGUAACCGCAGGUCAGCAAUACUGCGGUGAAUACGUUCCCGGGUCUU